UGGGGAAUAUUGCACAAUGGGCGCAAGCCUGAUGCAGCCAUGCCGCGUGUAUGAAGAAGGCCUUCGGGUUGUAAAGUACUUUCAGCGGGGAGGAAGGGAGUAUAGUUAAUACCUUUGCUCAUUGACGUUACCCGCAGAAGAAGCACCGGCUAACUCCGUGCCAGCAGCCGCGGUAAUACGGAGGGUGCAAGCGUUAAUCGGAAUUACUGGGCGUAAAGCGCACGCAGGCGGUUUGUUAAGUCAGAUGUGAAAUCCCCGGGCUCAACCUGGGAACUGCAUCUGAUACUUGCAAGCUUGAGUCUCGUAGAGGGGGGUAGAAUACCAGGUGUAGCGGUGAAAUGCGUAGAGAUAUGGAGGAAUACCGGUGGCGAAGGCGUCCCCCUGGACGAAGACUGACGCUCAGGUGCGAAAGCGUGGGGAGCAAACAGG
RNAcentral lists this ribosomal RNA (429 nucleotides) under Chloroflexota bacterium. Its description in RNAcentral is "Chloroflexi bacterium partial 16S ribosomal RNA". It matches the Rfam family "Bacterial small subunit ribosomal RNA", at positions 355 to 776 of the family's 1533-position model. The record is from RNAcentral. Lineage: Bacteria; Bacillati; Chloroflexota.